This 291-nucleotide small nuclear RNA is filed under the name Jaculus jaculus (lesser Egyptian jerboa). Its description in RNAcentral is "7SK RNA (ENSJJAG00000001654.1)". It matches the Rfam family "7SK RNA". Rfam says of the family: 7SK was discovered as an abundant small nuclear RNA in the mid-70s but a possible function has only recently been suggested. Lineage: Eukaryota; Metazoa; Chordata; Mammalia; Rodentia; Dipodidae. The record is from Rfam by way of RNAcentral.
GGAUGAAAGGGUGAUCUGGCUGUGACAUUUGUCACCCGAUUGAUCACUGGGGUUGAUUUGGCUGAUGUGACUGGCUAGGCAGCUGUCCCCUUACUCCCUCAUGGCAUGGCAACAUGUGCGUCCUUCCCAAAGCUUCGCACUCAGUCAGAGAGGAGGACCUUCCCCAACAGAGGAGGAUCUGUGUUUAGCCAAGUAACUGCGCUCCCCUGCUAGACCCUCCAAACAAGCUCUCAAGAUGCAAACACUACCGAAGUCCACAAAUAUUUUAAGAGCUACAGUGUCUAGCAUUUG